AUGCUCACUACGGCAUCACAUAUAUUAAAAUUGGAAUGAUACAGAGAAGAUUAACAAGGCCCCUGUUCAAGGAUGACACACAAAUUCAUGAAGCAUUCCAUAUUUUU
Molecule: small nuclear RNA, 107 nt
Organism: Panthera leo (lion)
Lineage: Eukaryota; Metazoa; Chordata; Mammalia; Carnivora; Felidae
Source: Ensembl